AAGUCUGAGAAGCUGUAUCCAGGUCGGACUCCCAGUCAAUUCCCAUUGAACCAAACAAUACCCAGAUUAAAGAAAAUAUAUCCGCCAUCCUCUAAAGUUGUGUUUAUUUAUCUGCAAAUAUUGAUCAUUUCUACGAAUCCAAUUUUUCAUUUGGUGCGCAUAUCGUAUUUCAGAAUGAAAUUACAUUGCUUUGACAGGAAAUUCCUCCACUCUUCACCUUCGUUGAUGCCCAUUCAACUCCCUUCACCGAUGAGACUCAUUUGUGGUAUGUUAUGCCCAGUGAAGUGAAGAGCAAAGCUUUACUUAACCAGUAUUUGGAUGUUCUACCUUCGUGUGAGAAAGAUUAUGUGUUUCAAAUGCAUGGUGAGGAGCCCAGGAAGAGAGCCCUGCUAGCUCGUGCAUUGGUCCGCACAACCAUUGCCAGAUUCAGUGAAAUGCUUGUAUUUGAUGUGAAGUUUACAUGAUUUGGCAAAAAUAUAAUGAUAUUCGGUCCAAGUUAGUCCAAGAUCAUUAAGGUUCAGAAAGAACGUUCACGGGAAGCCUGAGCUAGAAUGGCAAUUUAGUGAUCAAUGGCGUUCACCUCCUUUGCAUUUCAACAUCUCACACACCUCUUCUUUGGUAGCUUGUGGAGUAACCAUCAAUUCUCAAAUUGGCAUUGACGUGGAAGAAAAACACAGAACUAUAAAACACAGUAUCUUGUCUUUUGCUCGACGAUACUUCUCUAAAGAUGAAGUUCUUUUCUUAGCUGAUAUUUUGGACCCUGAAGUUCAACGCCACGAAUUUGUAAAAUUAUGGACACUCAAGGAGGCAUAUGUCAAAGCACUGGGAAGGGGAUUUUCUGGUGCAUCUUUCAAGACAUUUACUAUUCACUAUAAAGGAAGUAGCUUUAGUCCAUUGGAGAAUUCAAAUUCUGAGGAAAAAGAGGAAAGGGAAUGAACAAAACUUUUGGAUAGAAAUCCAAAAGAAAGAAAAGAAGAGAACGACAAAUUUCUAAAUAAGCUAGAAGUCCACAUGUUGAUUAUUUACCAAAAAAUGAAGAGGAAAGGGAAAAAGUCCACAUCUUUCUGUGUCAAGGAUGUAGUCUCUUGAAAGCACAUUUAUAUCCCUGAACGUUGCAACUCUAUGUCCGAAAUAGAUGUCUAAUAUGAAAUCAAUUCUCCUCAGUCCUAACCUGCUAGUUGUAUGUGCAUGCUAGUUUACUUGAACAAGAUCCUAUUCUUGACUUUGUAGGUUUCAAAUUUUUAUUUCAAAUUUCUAGUAAGGCACUUCUUUUUCAGUAUGUGUCUCUUCAUUUAAUUAAUAUAGAAUUCACUACUUCAUCUGGUUACAUGUCAAGUGUGCUCUCAUGCUCAGGAAAUAGUAGUGGAUUUUUUUGAUGACCCCUUGAAUCUUACAAGAAAUUGGCAGUUUUUGCUUUUAGAGUUGGCUGGUUCUCAUUAUGCAGCCAUUUGCGUGGAAAAUAAUGGUGCCAUUGAAGGCAAAAGAACUAUUCAGGUCAACUUGACAGUGUGGAAGGCAAUUCCAUUUUUAGAAGAUGAAUGUGUUUCUGGAACUGACGCAGUUAAAACAAUUAGUGGCUUGAAAUAGUUAUAUCUAUGUUGUCUCAUUCAUUUGACUGGCAAAAAGGGCCGUUGGCUAGUGCAAUGGUUGAAACAAUUUGCAUGAAGUGGUCAUUUUUACUUGAAGGAUGAAGCUGCA
Olea europaea var. sylvestris is the source of this 1698-nucleotide RNA transcript. It is a transcript of the gene named 4'-phosphopantetheinyl transferase HetI-like, with no coding region annotated. The record is from RefSeq and is a predicted model, not a curated record. NCBI's taxonomy places the organism in Eukaryota, Viridiplantae, Streptophyta, Magnoliopsida, Lamiales, Oleaceae. The transcript has 8 exons.